AAAAAAACAAACCCUGAUUUCCGUGUCCAACGUUCGACCGUCCGUCUUAUUUGAAAAAAUUAUGAAAAAAAAUUAAAAAGAUAAGUCACGCAUAAAGUAUUAAUCAUGUUUUAUCAUCUAACGACAAUGAAAAUACUAAUUAUAAAAAAAUUUCAUAUAAGACAGACAGUUAAACAUUGGCACGGAAACACAAGGUUUGUCUUUUU
This is a microRNA precursor of Oryza sativa Japonica Group (Japanese rice), 206 nucleotides long. It matches the Rfam family "MIR812 microRNA precursor family". NCBI's taxonomy places the organism in Eukaryota, Viridiplantae, Streptophyta, Magnoliopsida, Poales, Poaceae. The record is from Rfam.